Long non-coding RNA from Vespula vulgaris, 807 nucleotides. RefSeq lists it as uncharacterized. The record is from RefSeq and is a predicted model, not a curated record. The transcript has 2 exons. NCBI's taxonomy places the organism in Eukaryota, Metazoa, Arthropoda, Insecta, Hymenoptera, Vespidae.
CAGAGAGAGAGAGAGAGAGAGAGAGCUAGAUAGAGAGAGAGAGAGAGAGAGAUUUUGUAUGGUAUAAUGUAUGUAUGUAUGUAUGUAUGUAUGUAUGCAUGUACGUAUCUUUUUGUACGUAUGUGUUACCUGGAAUACGAUUGGAGAACGCAGUUUUCUUUGCUCGUAACUUAUGUAUGUAGGUGUGUGUAUGCGUGUACAUAUAUCUAUUAUCGAUGAUGUGUAUUUACCAGUAUAUUAGAUCAUAAGUAUUAUAAAAAAGAGAUUUAGAUUCGUAGAAACACGUUAUACGUCCUAAAUUUAUGUAGGUUUUAACAAUGAGGAGUAGUAUUAUUGCGCACGAAGAGUCUCAUGAUAAAAAUAAAAAGUGUACCUUUUACCUUGAAGCACGUGAAUGUGAACGUAUGAAAGAGAAAUAGAAAGAGAGAUAGAGAGAAAAAGAGAAAGAGAGGAAAAGAGAAAACGUUGCUUCGAUUUCCGGAUAUAAGAGAUAGUAAGAAGGUAUUACAGCAAUAUGAUAGGUGGAAAGCGAAGAACGUCAACGAUGUUUCCUUCCGAUUUAUCCAUAUUAUGUAUAUCCAGGUAAAAAGGGAGCAGUCACUUCGAAUGCAAAAGAGAGUAUUUAUUUGUAAAAUAAAUAAAUAAAUAUAUAUAUAUACACACACACACAUAUAUAUAUAUAUACACAUAUAAUAUGAAAUCGCUAUGUAAAUAUAACAUAGAGCUACUCGGUAUCGAGUCGAACUAAUUGUAAGAUAACUUAAUACAUUAAUACGUUCUCAAUAAAAGUCGAUUAUUUUUCGUUAA